AGGAUAAAGGGUUUUGACCAUAACUUGUAAUGAGUAAAUGUUGGGCAGACUUUCUGGAAGGCUCCAUUCCCAAAGGGAGGGGCUUUGGUGGACCUGCCGGGCGGCUGCUUAUUGAGUUUCUGUCUGUGCCUUUAGGGAAAAGGCUAAGGCACCAACAAAGCUGGCCUUGCCUCCUCCUUUUCCUUUGAAACCUACAAUGCAAUUAAUUACCAGCUUCACCCCCAUACACCUUCCUUUGAUAAGCCCCGGUUUAUGGGGCCAGUACCUCGGAGCUUCUGCUGAAGCCCAGCCUUCUUGGUAAUUGCAAUUUCCUGCCCAGCUUUGCAGCUUCCGGCAGGAUGCACACACAUCCGCCAGGGCCGGUGUGUGCUUUUACUUGUUCCUUGAGUAACAGAGGAAAAGGGUGUUGAACGGUACUCAAUGUGAAGGAAAGCUUCCAGCUCUAGAACUGAGGUAUCUAGCCAGAAAUGUUUUGAUUUUCCAAAAGGUGGAAGGGAUUUCUAGACAGAAGAGUUUGCUGGAGACCAAGGCGGCAAUGAACGAGCUCUUGGUUCCAACUGUCUUCUUGUAUUUUUUUCAUCUUUCUCUCAUUUUCUCCAGAGAUAAAGUGAAGGGAAUUGUUGCUGAAAACAAGUGCACAAAUAUCCGUAGCCGUGAACAGUUAAAUGGUUGUAUUUCAAUGGUGACAAUGAGCCAGAAACGAAGGAGAGAGAGAGAGACAAAGCACGAGCAGGGGAGGGGCAGAGAGGGAGACACAGAGUCUGAAACAGUCUCCAGGCUCUGAGCCGUCAGCACAGAGCCUGACGUGGGGCUCGAACUCACAGACUGUGAGAUCGUGACCUGAGACGAAGCUGGACGCUCAACCGACCGACCCACCCAGGCCCGGAAGCCAUACGUGGAUGAGGCUGGAUCCCAAGACGGGGAGCCUGUGUGGGCCUGGCCCCUUGCCCUGCAGACUCGUGGGGGCUCCUCAUGACUUUUCUUUUGAAGAAAGAAUUCCAUUGCUAAGAAAGAUUUGAGAACGACUGGCCCGCCUCAUAGGCCGCUGAGACACUUGGGGACUACGCAUGGAGCAUCUGUAUCUCCACAGCCAACGAUGCCAGGAGGUGGGUGAAGUCGCUUCGGGUGGGAGUCCGGGAUUGAGGGGUAGAAACUGAGGGGGCCCGUCUUUGUGGGAAUGGGCGUCCUGGCAACAGUGCUUUGGGAGUGAAAGAACAUCCCUCUCGGAAGAAUAGGGCUGUUUUCUCCCCUGGAGCCAGCUCAUCUGUGACCCAUCCAUCUGUCCGUGUGUUUCUCCACCCAUCCAUCCACCGUCUGUCCGGGCAGCCCUCUGUUUGUAAGGCUACGUCCAGUCCACCCGCCACUCUUGGUGGCCGUGGGCUGUGUCUGGGGAGAG
Long non-coding RNA from Acinonyx jubatus (cheetah), 1396 nucleotides. RefSeq lists it as uncharacterized. The record is from RefSeq and is a predicted model, not a curated record. The transcript is spliced from 4 exons. Lineage: Eukaryota; Metazoa; Chordata; Mammalia; Carnivora; Felidae.